RNAcentral lists this long non-coding RNA (1479 nucleotides) under Anas zonorhyncha (Eastern spot-billed duck). Its description in RNAcentral is "lncRNA (ENSAZOG00000005703.1)". The record is from RNAcentral. Lineage: Eukaryota; Metazoa; Chordata; Aves; Anseriformes; Anatidae.
GGUACUGGGUGACACUGGUACUGGGUGAUACUGGCACUGGGUGACACCAGGACCGGAUGACACCAGGACCCGGUGACACUGGUACUGGGUGACACCGGUACUGGGUGAUACUGGCACUGGGUGACACCAGGACCGGAUGACACCAGGACCCGGUGACACCGGCACUGGGUGAUACUGGCACUUGGUGACACCAGGACCCGGUGACAUUGGUACUGGGUGACACCGUUACUGGGUGACACCGGCACCGGGUGACUCCGGCACCAGGUGACACCAGUACCAGAUGGCACCAAUACUGGGUUACACCAAUACCGAGUGACACCAGUGCCAGGUGACACCAGGACCUGGUGACAAUGGUACUGGAUGACACCGGUACUGGGUAACACCAAUACUGGGUGACACUGGCACCAAAUAACACCGACACUGGGUGACACUGGUCCCGGGUGGCACAGGCACUGGGUGACACCAUUACCAGGUGACACUGGUACUGGGUGACACUGGUACCAGGUGACACCAGCACUAAGUGACACCAACACCAGUUGACACCAGUACCGGGUGACACCAGGCUGACACAGCCACCAAGUGACACCGGCACCAGUGAACCAUGCAACCGGGUGACACCAGCACCAAGUGACACCAGCACCGGGGAACUGGGUGACACAGCCACCGGGUGACACAGCCACCGGGUGCCACAGCCCCCAGACCCCACCAGACGCCACCAGACGACCCCCGCCGGGUGCCGCGGCCCCCAGGUGAGCCCCCCCCGCGCGCCCCCCGCUCACCGCGGGUGUUGUUGCUGUUGGUGUAUGUGAAGACGCUGUCCCGCGUCGUGUCCUCGUCCUCGUGCCGCCGGCGCGCGGCGAACGCCGCCUCCCAGCCCGCCGCCAUUGCUGCUGCUGCUGCUGCUGCCGNNNNNNNNNNCACGGCCCCCAGACCCCACCAGACGCCACCAGAUGACCCCCGCCGGGUGCCGCGGCCCCCAGGGGCUCCUCCCGCAGAACACCAGCUUCAGCAUGCACGAGCGGAACUGCGGCCAUGGGGCACGGCGCCGUGACCCACGGCACCCAGACCCACGGCACCCAGACCCAUAGCGACACCCAGACCCAUGGCACCCAGACCCAUGGCACCCAGAUCCAUAGAGGUACCGUGACCCAUAGUGACCCCAUGACCCAUAGUGACACCGGGACCCAGAGGUACCGUGACCCAUAGCGAUGCUGAGAUCCAUAGUGACAUUGUGACCCACAGCAUCGACCCAUAGCGACCCCAUGACCCAUAGUGACCUUGUGACCCAUAGCGACACUGUGACCCAUAGAACCAGGACCCAUAGCGACACCAUGACCCAUAGCGACACCGUGACCCAUAGCAUCGACCCAUAGAACUGGGACCCAUAGCGGCACCGUGACCCAUGGUGACCCCGUGACCCACAGGGUGACGCCGGCCACUGGGGUGUCCUCUGCUGGGGGGGCUGGGGGGACUGGGAGG